RNAcentral lists this ribosomal RNA (822 nucleotides) under uncultured marine bacterium. RNAcentral's name for it is "bacterial SSU rRNA". It matches the Rfam family "Bacterial small subunit ribosomal RNA", at positions 56 to 872 of the family's 1533-position model. The record is from RNAcentral.
UGCAGUCGAACGAGAUCCCUGAAUAGCUUGCUAAUUGGGGUGACAGUGGCGGACGGGUGCGUAACACGUGAGCAACCUGCCCUGAAGUGGGGGAUAGCUCUCCGAAAGGAGGAUUAAUACCGCAUGUGGUCUUCGGAUCAAAGACGGCUUCGGCUGUCGCUUCAGGAUGGGCUCGCGGCCUAUCAGCUUGUUGGUGAGGUAACGGCUCACCAAGGCAAUGACGGGUAGCUGGUCUGAGAGGACGAUCAGCCACACUGGAACUGAGACACGGUCCAGACACCUACGGGUGGCAGCAGUCGAGAAUCAUUCACAAUGGGGGAAACCCUGAUGGUGCAACGCCGCGUGGAGGAUGACGGCCUUCGGGUUGUAAACUCCUGUCAUCUGGGAGUAAGCUAUGUUCGUUAAUAGCGUGCAUAGUUGAUAGUACCAGAAGAGGAAGGGACGGCUAACUUCGUGCCAGCGGCCGCGGUAAUACGAAGGUCCCAAGCGUUGUUCGGAAUCACUGGGCGUAAAGCGUGCGUAGGCGGCAUGGUAAGUCAGAUGUGAAAUCUCUGGGCUCAACCCGGAAACUGCAUCCGAUACUGCCUUGCUAGAGUAAUGGAGGGGUAGCUGGAAUUCUCGGUGUAGCAGUGAAAUGCGUAGAUAUCGAGAGGAACACUCGUGGCGAAGGCGAGCUACUGGACAUUUACUGACGCUGAGGCACGAAGGCCAGGGUGGCGAAAGGGAUUAGAUACCCCUGUAGUCCUGGCAGUAAACGGUGUGCGCUUGGUGUGGGAGGAUUCGACCCCUUCCGUGCCGGAGCUAACGCGUUAAGCGCACCGC